RNAcentral lists this small nuclear RNA (97 nucleotides) under uncultured alveolate. Its description in RNAcentral is "partial Dictyostelium signal recognition particle". The record is from RNAcentral.
AAUUCGAGGUGGCCGAGAGCAUGGUCGGCAUGCACAUCGGCAAAAACGGAGAGCACAUCAAGCAGAUCCAAAGCGACUUCGAGGUUGAUAUUCGCGU